RNAcentral lists this ribosomal RNA (256 nucleotides) under uncultured bacterium. Its description in RNAcentral is "partial 16S ribosomal RNA". It matches the Rfam family "Bacterial small subunit ribosomal RNA", at positions 524 to 776 of the family's 1533-position model. The record is from RNAcentral.
UACGUAGGGUGCAAGCGUUGUCCGGAAUUAUUGGGCGUAAAGAGCUCGUAGGCGGUUUGUCGCGUCUGCUGUGAAAACCCGAGGCUCAACCUCGGGCCUGCAGUGGGUACGGGCGAGACUAGAGUGCGGUAGGGGAGAUUGGAAUUCCUGGUGUAGCGGUGGAAUGCGCAGAUAUCAGGAGGAACACCAAUGGCGAAGGCAGAUCUCUGGGCCGUGAACUGACGCUGGAGGAGCGAAAGCAUGGGGAGCGAACAGG